This 77-nucleotide transfer RNA is filed under the name Thiothrix sp. Its description in RNAcentral is "tRNA-Pro". It matches the Rfam family "tRNA". From Rfam's summary of the family: Transfer RNA (tRNA) molecules are approximately 80 nucleotides in length. Their secondary structure includes four short double-helical elements and three loops (D, anti-codon, and T loops). The record is from RNAcentral. Lineage: Bacteria; Pseudomonadati; Pseudomonadota; Gammaproteobacteria; Thiotrichales; Thiotrichaceae. RNAcentral also lists the same sequence under 2 other names.
CGGAGUGUGGCGCAGCUUGGUAGCGCACCACAAUGGGGUUGUGGGGGUCGGAGGUUCAAAUCCUCUCACUCCGACCA